Molecule: ribosomal RNA, 616 nt
Filed under: uncultured Verrucomicrobiota bacterium
Lineage: Bacteria; Pseudomonadati; Verrucomicrobiota
Description: bacterial SSU rRNA
Rfam family: Bacterial small subunit ribosomal RNA
Source: RNAcentral
UAGCAAUACUAGGUUGAGCCAGUGGCGAACGGGUGCGUAACACGUGAGUCAUCUGCCUGAAAUAGUAAAAGAAGCUCGCCGAAAGGCGAAUUAAUACCGCAUGUGCCCCGAAGCAAUUCGGGGUAAAGCCGGGGCAACCUGGCGCUUUUAGAUGAGCUCGCGGCCUAUCAGCUUGUUGGUAAGGUAACGGCUUACCAAGGCUUCGACGGGUAGCUGGUCUGAGAGGACGACCAGCCACACUGGAACUGAGACACGGUCCAGACACCUACGGGUGGCAGCAGUCGAGAAUUUUUCUCAUUUUUUUUAAACCCUGAAGGAGCGACGCCGCGUGGAGGAUGAAGGCUUUCGGCCCCCCCAACUCCUGUCAUUUGGGAACAAUACCUUACGUUAACUGCGUGGAGGUUUGAUAGUACCAGAAGAGGAAGAGACGGCUAACUCUGUGCCAGCAGCCGCGGUAAUACAGAGGUCUCGAGCGUUGUUCGGAUUCAUUGGGCGUAAAGGGCGCGUAGGCUGCGGGGCAAGUCGGGUGUGAAAUCUCAGAGCUAACUCUGAAACUGCACUCGAUACUGCUUUGCUAGAAGGACUGGAGACGAGAUUGGAAUUCACGGUGUAGCAA